AGCAGGGCAGGGCCCUGCAGGCCGUGGGGCUACAGGUUCUGCGGCUUCCUGACCUAGCUCAGCACAGGAGCGGCGUCAUGCUGGGAGGUCCUGGGAGGGGGGGCCGAGACAGCCCUUGGCUUGGGGAGAACCCCCCCACCGGGGAGGAUGGAUGCUGUCUGCCAGGGACCCCACCCGUUCACUUAGGAAGCUCUGGUGGAGCCGAUGGUGCCGGGCCCAGGGCCAGAGGGCAGCCUCUCUGCCAAGGAAGGAACGCAGCCCCCGGCGGCUCAGAAGCUGGUGGAGCUGCCCCGACAAGGAGAAGCGAAGGGGUCCUCACCACCAGGCCACUAGCGCACGGAACGGCCAGGGCCGCCGUUAAAAAGGAGAAAAAUAAAAGACAUGAGCAA
Molecule: long non-coding RNA, 389 nt
Organism: Myotis davidii
Lineage: Eukaryota; Metazoa; Chordata; Mammalia; Chiroptera; Vespertilionidae
Exons: 2
Source: RefSeq, a predicted model, not a curated record